UUAUGACUUUUUUAAUUUAAUGAAAAGCCAAGUGGUUUAUAGUAUUACGGAUUACAUCCUAUGAUGACAGGAAAUAAUCAAAAGUAAAAAGAUUUAAUUGCGAUUACAUCAAAUACUGACGCAAUUUUUAAGAUUAAGAAUACUUACAUCUAACUUCGACUUCAUAAUUAAAAAUUAAAAAGAGAAUUUUCGAAAUUAAGUCUGCACACUACUGACUUUUUCUGAAGUAAUCAUUAUUACGCCCUUUUUCCGUUCGUAAAUAAUUUCAUAAGCUGGAAGUAAUCGCGAACGCGCCAAUCAACCAGUUGAAACAUGAAUUUAUUCGUCUAUACUGCGCAUGCGUAAGGUGCGCAGGAGAAGCGUGUGUUUGUUUACUUCUCAUUACGGACGCGCCGCGCGGUGAUAACAGCACGUAUUGAUUGCAUUUCCGCAUUAUUCAUUGAAAUAGGAAUUUAGAGUGUUUAAAAAUUGUUUCCACGAUGUCUGGACGUCGAGGUCGGUCAAAGAAAAUGCUUGAUUUUGUAUUUUCAGGUUGUGAACAUAAUGAAUCUCACACAGCAAAUAGAAAUGACGAACUUUUUCCUCGUAACACAAACAACCAACGGAAUAUCGAAGAGACCGAGGUAGCAAGUUCAGAUGACAAACUACAUGCGUCGCAUUCAAUUCAAAUAAGAAAGAACCAGUUUUUAAGAACUAGUAGUAAAA
Spodoptera frugiperda (fall armyworm) is the source of this 705-nucleotide long non-coding RNA. RefSeq lists it as uncharacterized. The transcript is spliced from 3 exons. The record is from RefSeq and is a predicted model, not a curated record. NCBI's taxonomy places the organism in Eukaryota, Metazoa, Arthropoda, Insecta, Lepidoptera, Noctuidae.